GAGCAUGGCUGAGGCUGCCUGUAGUCUAGCUGUUCAGAAAGCCAAGGCAAGAGUAUCACUUGAGCCCAGGAUUUGGGGGCCACCCUAGGCAACAGAGUGAGACCUUGCCUAUU
Molecule: small RNA, 113 nt
Filed under: Marmota monax (woodchuck)
Lineage: Eukaryota; Metazoa; Chordata; Mammalia; Rodentia; Sciuridae
Source: RNAcentral